This 2787-nucleotide ribosomal RNA is filed under the name Escherichia coli. RNAcentral's name for it is "bacterial LSU rRNA". It matches the Rfam family "Bacterial large subunit ribosomal RNA". Lineage: Bacteria; Pseudomonadati; Pseudomonadota; Gammaproteobacteria; Enterobacterales; Enterobacteriaceae. The record is from RNAcentral. RNAcentral also lists the same sequence under 1 other name.
AGCGUACACGGUGGAUGCCCUGGCAGUCAGAGGCGAUGAAGGACGUGCUAAUCUGCGAUAAGCGUCGGUGAGGUGAUAUGAACCGUUAUAACCGGCGAUUUCCGAAUGGGGAAACCCAGUGUGUUUCGACACACUAUCAUUAACUGAAUCCAUAGGUUAAUGAGGCGAACCGGGGGAACUGAAACAUCUAAGUACCCCGAGGAAAAGAAAUCAACCGAGAUUCCCCCAGUAGCGGCGAGCGAACGGGGAGGAGCCCAGAGCCUGAAUCAGUGUGUGUGUUAGUGGAAGCGUCUGGAAAGGCGCGCGAUACAGGGUGACAGCCCCGUACACAAAAAUGCACAUAUUGUGAGCUCGAUGAGUAGGGCGGGACACGUGGUAUCCUGUCUGAAUAUGGGGGGACCAUCCUCCAAGGCUAAAUACUCCUGACUGACCGAUAGUGAACCAGUACCGUGAGGGAAAGGCGAAAAGAACCCCGGCGAGGGGAGUGAAAAAGAACCUGAAACCGUGUACGUACAAGCAGUGGGAGCCUCUUAAUGGGGUGACUGCGUACCUUUUGUAUAAUGGGUCAGCGACUUAUAUUCUGUAGCAAGGUUAACCGAAUAGGGGAGCCGAAGGGAAACCGAGUCUUAACUGGGCGUUAAGUUGCAGGGUAUAGACCCGAAACCCGGUGAUCUAGCCAUGGGCAGGUUGAAGGUUGGGUAACACUAACUGGAGGACCGAACCGACUAAUGUUGAAAAAUUAGCGGAUGACUUGUGGCUGGGGGUGAAAGGCCAAUCAAACCGGGAGAUAGCUGGUUCUCCCCGAAAGCUAUUUAGGUAGCGCCUCGUGAAUUCAUCUCCGGGGGUAGAGCACUGUUUCGGCAAGGGGGUCAUCCCGACUUACCAACCCGAUGCAAACUGCGAAUACCGGAGAAUGUUAUCACGGGAGACACACGGCGGGUGCUAACGUCCGUCGUGAAGAGGGAAACAACCCAGACCGCCAGCUAAGGUCCCAAAGUCAUGGUUAAGUGGGAAACGAUGUGGGAAGGCCCAGACAGCCAGGAUGUUGGCUUAGAAGCAGCCAUCAUUUAAAGAAAGCGUAAUAGCUCACUGGUCGAGUCGGCCUGCGCGGAAGAUGUAACGGGGCUAAACCAUGCACCGAAGCUGCGGCAGCGACACUAUGUGUUGUUGGGUAGGGGAGCGUUCUGUAAGCCUGUGAAGGUGGCCUGUGAGGGUUGCUGGAGGUAUCAGAAGUGCGAAUGCUGACAUAAGUAACGAUAAAGCGGGUGAAAAGCCCGCUCGCCGGAAGACCAAGGGUUCCUGUCCAACGUUAAUCGGGGCAGGGUGAGUCGACCCCUAAGGCGAGGCCGAAAGGCGUAGUCGAUGGGAAACAGGUUAAUAUUCCUGUACUUGGUGUUACUGCGAAGGGGGGACGGAGAAGGCUAUGUUGGCCGGGCGACGGUUGUCCCGGUUUAAGCGUGUAGGCUGGUUUUCCAGGCAAAUCCGGAAAACCAAGGCUGAGGCGUGAUGACGAGGCACUACGGUGCUGAAGCGACAAAUGCCCUGCUUCCAGGAAAAGCCUCUAAGCAUCAGGUAACAUCAAAUCGUACCCCAAACCGACACAGGUGGUCAGGUAGAGAAUACCAAGGCGCUUGAGAGAACUCGGGUGAAGGAACUAGGCAAAAUGGUGCCGUAACUUCGGGAGAAGGCACGCUGAUAUGUAGGUGAAGCGACUUGCUCGUGGAGCUGAAAUCAGUCGAAGAUACCAGCUGGCUGCAACUGUUUAUUAAAAACACAGCACUGUGCAAACACGAAAGUGGACGUAUACGGUGUGACGCCUGCCCGGUGCCGGAAGGUUAAUUGAUGGGGUUAGCGGCAACGCGAAGCUCUUGAUCGAAGCCCCGGUAAACGGCGGCCGUAACUAUAACGGUCCUAAGGUAGCGAAAUUCCUUGUCGGGUAAGUUCCGACCUGCACGAAUGGCGUAAUGAUGGCCAGGCUGUCUCCACCCGAGACUCAGUGAAAUUGAACUCGCUGUGAAGAUGCAGUGUACCCGCGGCAAGACGGAAAGACCCCGUGAACCUUUACUAUAGCUUGACACUGAACAUUGAGCCUUGAUGUGUAGGAUAGGUGGGAGGCUUUGAAGUGUGGACGCCAGUCUGCAUGGAGCCGACCUUGAAAUACCACCCUUUAAUGUUUGAUGUUCUAACGUUGGCCCGUAAUCCGGGUUGCGGACAGUGUCUGGUGGGUAGUUUGACUGGGGCGGUCUCCUCCUAAAGAGUAACGGAGGAGCACGAAGGUUGGCUAAUCCUGGUCGGACAUCAGGAGGUUAGUGCAAUGGCAUAAGCCAGCUUGACUGCGAGCGUGACGGCGCGAGCAGGUGCGAAAGCAGGUCAUAGUGAUCCGGUGGUUCUGAAUGGAAGGGCCAUCGCUCAACGGAUAAAAGGUACUCCGGGGAUAACAGGCUGAUACCGCCCAAGAGUUCAUAUCGACGGCGGUGUUUGGCACCUCGAUGUCGGCUCAUCACAUCCUGGGGCUGAAGUAGGUCCCAAGGGUAUGGCUGUUCGCCAUUUAAAGUGGUACGCGAGCUGGGUUUAGAACGUCGUGAGACAGUUCGGUCCCUAUCUGCCGUGGGCGCUGGAGAACUGAGGGGGGCUGCUCCUAGUACGAGAGGACCGGAGUGGACGCAUCACUGGUGUUCGGGUUGUCAUGCCAAUGGCACUGCCCGGUAGCUAAAUGCGGAAGAGAUAAGUGCUGAAAGCAUCUAAGCACGAAACUUGCCCCGAGAUGAGUUCUCCCUGACUCCUUGA